Molecule: ribosomal RNA, 511 nt
Filed under: uncultured Glomus
Lineage: Eukaryota; Fungi; Glomeromycota; Glomeromycetes; Glomerales; Glomeraceae
Description: SSU rRNA
Rfam family: Eukaryotic small subunit ribosomal RNA
Source: RNAcentral
AGCAGCCGCGGUAAUUCCAGCUCCAAUAGCGUAUAUUAAAGUUGUUGCAGUUAAAAAGCUCGUAGUUGAAUUUCGGGAUCAGUUGAUCGGUCGUGCCUCGGUACGUACUGGUCAAAUUGAUUCCUACCUUCUGACGAACCACGAUGUCAUUAAUUUGGUGUCGUGGGAAAUCAGGACUGUUACUUUGAAAAAAUUAGAGUGUUUAAAGCAGGCUCGCGCUUGAAUACAUUAGCAUGGAAUAAUGAAAUAGGACGUUUGAUUCUAUUUUGUUGGUUUCUAGGAUCGACGUAAUGAUUAAUAGGGAUAGUUGGGGGCAUUAGUAUUCAAUUGUCAGAGGUGAGAUUCUUGGAUUUAUUGAAGACUAACUACUGCGAAAGCAUUUGCCAAGGAUGUUUUCAUUAAUCAAGAACGAAAGUUAGGGGAUCGAAGACGAUCAGAUACCGUCGUAGUCUUAACCAUAAACUAUGCCGACUAGGGAUCGGAUGAUGUUAAUUUUUAAUGUACUCAUUCG